Molecule: ribosomal RNA, 468 nt
Filed under: uncultured bacterium
Lineage: Bacteria
Description: partial 16S ribosomal RNA
Rfam family: Bacterial small subunit ribosomal RNA
Source: RNAcentral
GACGAACGCUGGCGGCGUGCUUAACACGUGCAAGUCGAACGGAAAGGCCCUGCUUUUGUGGGGUGCUCGAGUGGCGAACGGGCGAGUAACACGUGAGUAACCUGCCCUUGACUUUGGGAUAACUUCAGGAAACUGGGGCUAAUACCGGAUAGGAGCUCCUGCUGCAUGGGGGGGGUUGGAAAGUUUCGGCGGUUGGGGAUGGACUCGCGGCUUAUCAGCUUGUUGGUGGGGUAGUGGCUUACCAAGGCUUUGACGGGUAGCCGGCCUGAGAGGGUGACCGGCCACAUUGGGACUGAGAUACGGCCCAGACUCCUCCGGGAGGCAGCAGUGGGGAAUAUUGCACAAUGGGCGGAAGCCUGAUGCAGCAACGCCGCGUGCGGGAUGACGGCCUUCGGGUUGUAAACCGCUUUCGCCUGUGACGAAGCGUGAGUGACGGUAAUGGGUAAAGAAGCACCGGCUAACUACGUG